GGGCCCGCACAAGCGGUGGAGCAUGUGGUUUAAUUCGAUGAUACGCGAGGAACCUUACCAGGGCUUAAAUGUAGUGGGACAGGUCUAGAGAUAGACCCUUCUUCGGACUCAUUACAAGGUGCUGCAUGGUUGUCGUCAGCUCGUGCCGUGAGGUGUCAGGUUAAGUCCUAUAACGAGCGCAACCCCUAUCGUUAGUUGCCAGCGGGUAAUGCCGGGAACUCUAGCGAAACUGCCGGUGACAAACCGGAGGAAGGUGAGGAUGAUGUCAAGUCAGUAUGUCCCUUAUGUCCAGGGCUACACACGUGUUACAAUGGAUGGUACAAUGGGCUGCUAAGCCGUAAGGUGGAGCCAAUCCCCAAAACCAUCCCAGUUCGGAUUGGAGUCUGCAACUCGACUCCAUG
Molecule: ribosomal RNA, 401 nt
Filed under: uncultured bacterium
Lineage: Bacteria
Description: bacterial SSU rRNA
Rfam family: Bacterial small subunit ribosomal RNA
Source: RNAcentral